This 508-nucleotide ribosomal RNA is filed under the name uncultured bacterium. RNAcentral's name for it is "partial 16S ribosomal RNA". It matches the Rfam family "Bacterial small subunit ribosomal RNA", at positions 28 to 523 of the family's 1533-position model. The record is from RNAcentral.
GAUGAACGCUAGCUACAGGCUUAACACAUGCAAGUCGAGGGGCAGCGGUAUCGAAAGCUUGCUUUCGGUAGCCGGCGACCGGCGCACGGGUGAGUAACGCGUAUCGAACCUGCCUCAUACUCGGGAAUAGCCUUGCGAAAGUAAGAUUAAUGCCCGGUGUUUUCAGAGUCCCGCAUGAGGCUUUGAACAAAGAUUUAUCGGUAUGAGAUGGCGAUGCGUCCCAUUAGCUUGUUGGCGGGGUAACGGCCCACCAAGGCAUCGAUGGGUAGGGGUUCGAAGAGGAAGGUCCCCCACAUAGGAACUGAGACACGGUCCAAGCUCCUACGGGAGGCAGCAGUGAGGAAUAUUGGUCAAUGGGCGGAAGCCUGAACCAGCCAAGUAGCGUGCAGGAAGACGGCCCUCCGGGUUGUAAACUGCUUUUAGUUGGGAAUAAAACGGGGCUCGUGAGCCCCCUUGCAUGUACCAUCAGAAAAAGGACCGGCUAAUUCCGUGCCAGCAGCCGCCGUAA